RNAcentral lists this ribosomal RNA (441 nucleotides) under Otostigmus nudus. RNAcentral's name for it is "partial 16S ribosomal RNA". It matches the Rfam family "Bacterial large subunit ribosomal RNA", at positions 1928 to 2600 of the family's 2925-position model. Lineage: Eukaryota; Metazoa; Arthropoda; Chilopoda; Scolopendromorpha; Scolopendridae. The record is from RNAcentral.
UGGCCGCGGUAUUUUGACCGUGCGAAGGUAGCAUAAUCAAUAGUCUAUUAAAUGUGGUCUGGAAUGAAGGGUUUGACGAGAGGUAACUUUUUUAAUCUUAUUGAUGAAUUUUAAUUAUUAGUGAAAAUGCUGAUGUGAAUUAGGGGGACGAGAAGACCCUAUAGAGCUUUAUAUAUGUUUGGGUAUUUAGUGGUAUAAUUAUUAUGAAAUAUAUUUUGUUGGGGCGACAAUAAAUUGAAUCAUUUAUUAAGAUGGUCUAUUAUAGUAGAUAGGUUGAUCCAUUUUUUAUGAUUAGUAGACUAAGUUACCUUAGGGAUAACAGCGUAAUUUUAUCUUAGAGUUCUUAUCGAUGAUGAAGUUUGCGACCUCGAUGUUGGAUUAAGUUUCUCUUAAGGCGCAGCAGUUUUAAGGAGUAGUCUGUUCGACUAUUAAAUACUUACA